RNAcentral lists this long non-coding RNA (518 nucleotides) under Zea mays. Its description in RNAcentral is "long non-coding RNA (ZMAY_LNC005408)". The record is from RNAcentral. Lineage: Eukaryota; Viridiplantae; Streptophyta; Magnoliopsida; Poales; Poaceae.
GAAUCGAAUGACAAGCAUGAUAAGUUGACAUUAUAAAUGGUAUAGUUGCAAACACGAGCACUUGCGAGAUUAGACACGGAUAUAAGAAGCCAACGACGGCAUCACACGAUUACAGGCGAACACACCAAUCAGCACAAACAUCACCAAAUCCUUUAUUCUAGUCACUCAGUGCAGAUGCAGCCUACUGCUAGCAGGGCACUGAACAUCACCAUCCCGUCGUAUGGAUUCUGGUAAGGGAACAGUAUCCCUUCAUUCGAUCCUGCCGACACAAACAGGGCAAAUAAUGUUAGUUUUGUCUGUAAUAAUUGCUUGGGUUUCACUGCCACAAACGCCUGAAACUAAAGGGAGAGAUCACGGUCAAGUUUGCAGCUGUGUAUGUACUCACUUGUCGCAGUCGAUGUCGGGGGUGAUGUUGUAGGACAGCGAGAGGCCGCAGUCGCCGGGCAGCUCCUGCGCCGCGGAGAGCACAGCGUGGACCUGAACGUAGGCCGCCUUGAGGCACCGGCACGUGGCCUGCC